Molecule: ribosomal RNA, 253 nt
Filed under: uncultured bacterium
Lineage: Bacteria
Description: partial 16S ribosomal RNA
Rfam family: Bacterial small subunit ribosomal RNA
Source: RNAcentral
UACAGAGGUCCCGAGCGUUGUUCGGAUUCACUGGGCGUAAAGGGUGCGUAGGUGGCAAGGCAAGUUUGAUGUGAAAGCUCAGGGCUUAACCCUGAAAUGGCAUUGAAUACUACUGUGCUGGAGGUUUGGAGGGGGGACUGGAAUUCUUGGUGUAGCAGUGAAAUGCGUAGAUAUCAAGAGGAACACCAGUGGCGAAGGCGAGUCCCUGGACAACACCUGACACUGAGGCACGAAAGCUAGGGGAGCAAACAGG